UAAAAUAUAUUUUUAAAUAAGAAUUUCUCGAAUUUGAAGGGGCUAAGAGUAUAUAUGUAUUAUUGUGGAAUAACUAUUUAGAAUAUACUUUUUGUAAUGAAACGUUAGUCGUUUUCUAAUAUAUCUAGUUUCUUAAGAAAUUAAUUUAAUUAAGUUGGCUUGGAAUUUAUUUAAAUAUUAAAGUAACUUUGUGGCUGGGAAAUGUUUAAAGGGAUAAGCUUUUGAACAUAUUUUUAAAACAGAUAAUUUUUAUUAAGGUAAAAUAGGAAUAGAAGUUUUCAUUUUGGGAAGUGAGUUGUAUCAGGAUUUUAAUAAGGAGUAAUUUUUAGUAGUUUAAAUUUUUUAUUAAGGAAAAUUAAUUAAUUGUGCAUUAGUUGUUAUAAUGAUGGAAUUAGUAUAUUUUUGUGUAAAUUUAAUUGGAUUUUGAAAGGUUAAAUUGAGGAACUCGGCAAAUAAGCUCUUUGCCUGUUUAAUAAAAACAUGGCUUUUUGGGAAUAAUAUAAGGUCUGGCCUGCCCAAUGAUAAGUUGAAUGGCCGCGGUACUCUGACCGUGCAAAGGUAGCAUAAUCAUUAGUUUUUUAAUUGAAAGCUGGAAUGAACGGUCGGACAAGGGAGCAGCUGUCUUUAUUUAAAUUGUAGAAUUUUAUUUUUGAGUAAGAAAGCUUAAAUGAUUUUGAGGGACGAGAAGACCCUAUAGAAUUUUAUAAUAUUUUUUGAGCUGAUUUUUAAGGUUGUUUUGGUUGGCUUAGGAAUAAUUUAUUUUGUUGGGGUGAUGGAAAAAUUUAUUUAACUUUUUUUAGGUUGAUUUUCACUGUUUUGUGAAUUGUUGAUCCACGUUUUGUGAUUAUAAGAUUAAAUUACCUUAGGGAUAACAGCGUUAUUAGUUUGGAGAGUUCUUAUCGAUAGACUAGUUUGCGACCUCGAUGUUGGAUUAAAAUGAACUUGUGGUGUAGGGGCUACAGGGUUAAGUCUGUUCGACUUUUAAAAUUUU
Molecule: ribosomal RNA, 991 nt
Filed under: Dorculus lombokensis
Lineage: Eukaryota; Metazoa; Arthropoda; Insecta; Coleoptera; Lucanidae
Description: partial 16S ribosomal RNA
Rfam family: Archaeal large subunit ribosomal RNA (bases 424-667)
Source: RNAcentral